Long non-coding RNA from Pseudoliparis swirei, 483 nucleotides. RefSeq lists it as uncharacterized. NCBI's taxonomy places the organism in Eukaryota, Metazoa, Chordata, Actinopteri, Perciformes, Liparidae. The transcript is spliced from 3 exons. The record is from RefSeq and is a predicted model, not a curated record.
GUGAAGACGUAGACCCGGAGAAAGACUGACAGAUGGAGAAACAAAGGCAGAGUGAGACCUCUCUCUGCCUUCUCCUAUCUGGCAACAGCAGGAGAGGUGGGAUGUAAGCCACGCGAGAUCUUUGCUGGUGUACCAGGAGCAACAGAUCCAAGUUCAGUUUCACCGUCUCUCCCUUCCCAUCUUCGACCUAUCUGCGCAAAGGCAAUGGAACAGACCUGCGGAGACAUCGAGGUGAGGUCAAUCCAGGGAUGGAUUCGCCACACAAGGGGAUAUUUCCGCCGAUGCUAAGUGAGAGAAGACAUUGCUUGUGAUGUUGAUGAGAUCCUGUGGCCAGACCCCAACAGACGGCAGGAUCCAUAAGCCCACUUGCGCACAAUUGUGUUUUUCUGUGUUUACAGUAGUGUAUUGUUUGUUUUAUUUUUGAUUUAACAAAAUGUACUGUACUGUAAAAUAUACUAAUGUAAUGAUUUUGAAUUCAGUAUU